This 253-nucleotide ribosomal RNA is filed under the name uncultured prokaryote. Its description in RNAcentral is "partial 16S ribosomal RNA". It matches the Rfam family "Bacterial small subunit ribosomal RNA", at positions 524 to 776 of the family's 1533-position model. The record is from RNAcentral.
UACGAAGGGGGCGAGCGUUGUUCGGAUUUACUGGGCGUAAAGGGCGCGCAGGCGGCCAGAUUUGUCGAGUGUGAAAGCCCCGGGCUUAACCUGGGAACGGCGCUCGAAACGGUAUGGCUAGAGAUCGGGAGAGGAGAGUGGAAUUCCCAGUGUAGAGGUGAAAUUCGUAGAUAUUGGGAAGAACACCGGUGGCGAAGGCGGCUCUCUGGACCGAGACUGACGCUGAGGCGCGAAAGCGUGGGGAGCAAACAGG